GAUGAAGAACGCAGCGAAAUGCGAUAAGUAAUGUGAAUUGCAGAAUUCAGUGAAUCAUCGAAUCUUUGAACGCACAUUGCGCCCCCUGGGAUUCCGGGGGGCAUGCCUGUCCGAGCGUCAUUACAACCCUCAAGCUCAGCUUGGUGUUGGGCCCCGCCGCCCCGGCGGGCCCUAAAGUCAGUGGCGGUGCCGUCCGGCUCCGAGCGUAGUAAUUCUUCUCGCUCUGGAGGUCCGGUCGUGUGCUCGCCAGCAACCCCCAAUUUUUUUCAGGUUGACCUCGGAUCAGGUAGGGAUACCCGCUGAACUUAAGCAUAUCAAUAAGCGGAGGA
Molecule: unclassified non-coding RNA, 329 nt
Filed under: soil metagenome
Description: partial contains 5.8S ribosomal RNA, internal transcribed spacer 2, and large subunit ribosomal RNA
Rfam family: 5.8S ribosomal RNA (bases 1-120)
Source: RNAcentral